CUGGCUCAGAUUGAACGCUGGCGGCAGGCCUAACACAUGCAAGUCGAGCGGAAACGACAACAUUGACCCUUCGGGUGAUUUGUUGGGCGUCGAGCGGCGGACGGGUGAGUAAUGCCUGGGAAAUUGCCCUGAUGUGGGGGAUAACCAUUGGAAACGAUGGCUAAUACCGCAUGAUGCCUACGGGCCAAAGAGGGGGACCUUCGGGCCUCUCGCGUCAGGAUAUGCCCAGGUGGGAUUAGCUAGUUGGUGAGGUAAGGGCUCACCAAGGCGACGAUCCCUAGCUGGUCUGAGAGGAUGAUCAGCCACACUGGAACUGAGACACGGUCCAGACUCCUACGGGAGGCAGCAGUGGGGAAUAUUGCACAAUGGGCGCAAGCCUGAUGCAGCCAUGCCGCGUGUAUGAAGAAGGCCUUCGGGUUGUAAAGUACUUUCAGUCGUGAGGAAGGGGGUAUCGUUAAUAGCGGUAUUCUUUGACGUUAGCGACAGAAGAAGCACCGGCUAACUCCGUGCCAGCAGCCGCGGUAAUAC
RNAcentral lists this ribosomal RNA (528 nucleotides) under Vibrio sp. RNAcentral's name for it is "bacterial SSU rRNA". It matches the Rfam family "Bacterial small subunit ribosomal RNA", at positions 19 to 526 of the family's 1533-position model. The record is from RNAcentral. Lineage: Bacteria; Pseudomonadati; Pseudomonadota; Gammaproteobacteria; Vibrionales; Vibrionaceae.